Long non-coding RNA from Thalassophryne amazonica, 1036 nucleotides. RefSeq lists it as uncharacterized. NCBI's taxonomy places the organism in Eukaryota, Metazoa, Chordata, Actinopteri, Batrachoidiformes, Batrachoididae. The transcript has 3 exons. The record is from RefSeq and is a predicted model, not a curated record.
AAAACUCACACAACUUGAAACAGAAUAAGAAUUAAAUAGCUUCUGGUGUGUAGUGAGCGCCUUGCAUGGAAGCAUCCUGACAUUGGUGUGGGAGUGUGAAUGGGUGAAUGUGAAGCAUAAUUGUAAAGCGCUUUGAGCAUCUAAUGCAGAUGGAAAAGCGCUAUAUAAAUGCAGUCCAUUUACCAUUUACAACAAAGUUGGUCGCUGUGCGCACAGACGGACGAGCUGUCAACGUCGGUAUGUACAACGGUGUGGUACCAAAACUCCGGCAACUUGCUGCGUCUGGAGACUCCCUUGUGCACAUUUUGUGCACCGCACACACACUGGAGAAUUGCACAAAAUCAGCUGAUCGCAACGUGCCUUACUGUCAGACAUUUAAUUGCUCUGUGGUCAAGCUGCUGCAGUUUUAUUUACAAAAAGGUGGAGCAAAAAAACUGCUGCACUGAAGAAGCUGUGUGACGAAAAGGGGAUCUCCUUUGUGAAACUGGACAAGUUUCAUAAUAUCAGAUGGUCUGCAUGGAGGCAUGAAACACUGAUAAAAAAUAUCGACUGUUGCCAGCCAUUAAAAUGCAACUGGAUACGAGUGAUAACAGUGACCUUCAGCAUAUCUGCACAGAGCGUUUUCAGUGCUUUCUGUCAAACAUGUUUGGCAUUGGCAACAUUUUGAAGACCACAUCCAUUAGGUUUUAGAAGGAAAAGCUGACCAUUGGAGAAUGUAAAGAUGAACUCAUGGUGGCCAUUGGACAGUUCAGACGAGACAAAAUUACUCAGGGGGUUAAUUGCUCCCCACUUCAAUUUGUAAGUAAGUAUUGACUUUUUAAUAAUAAUAAAACAGGAAACAGUAGGUGUCUGUCUUUCAGUUUCUCUGAAAGCUCUCAGUUGUCCAGGUGGUUGACGUGAGUCCUCGCGUCAAGCAACCCAGUCCAGUUGAAGAUUCAAGCUUCUCUACCAUGUCUUUCAGUUGAUCAGCCCAAUCCUGGUAAAUGUCUACAUCUUCUUCACCUUUUUCUUUGUCAGUCAUGUGUGCAUGUGUGUU